AGUGGCGGACGGGUGAGUAACGCGUGAGAAUCUGCCUUGGGGUCGGGGACAACCACUGGAAACGGUGGCUAAUACCGGAUAAGCCGAUUGGUGAAAGAUUUAUUGCCCGAAGAGGAGCUCGCGUCUGAUUAGCUAGUUGGUGAGGUAAGAGCUCACCAAGGCAGCGAUCAGUAGCUGGUCUGAGAGGACGAUCAGCCACACUGGGACUGAGACACGGCCCAGACUCCUACGGGAGGCAGCAGUGGGGAAUUUUCCGCAAUGGGCGAAAGCCUGACGGAGCAAGACCGCGUGAGGGAGGAAGGCUCUUGGGUUGUAAACCUCUUUUCUCAGGGAAGAAGCUCUGACGGUACCUGAGGAAUCAGCCUCGGCUAACUCCGUGCCAGCAGCCGCGGUAAUACGGAGGAGGCAAGCGUUAUCCGGAAUUAUUGGGCGUAAAGCGUCCGCAGGUGGCGAUUCAAGUCUGCUGUCAAAGCACGGGGCUUAACUCCGUAAAGGCAGUGGAAACUGAAUAGCUAGAGUGCCGUAGGGGUAGAGGGAAUUCCCGGUGUAGCGGUGAAAUGCGUAGAGAUCGGGAAGAACAUCGGUGGCGAAAGCGCUCUACUGGACGGCAACUGACACUCAGGGACGAAAGCUAGGGAGCGAAUGGGAUUAGAUACCCC
Molecule: ribosomal RNA, 659 nt
Filed under: uncultured bacterium
Lineage: Bacteria
Description: bacterial SSU rRNA
Rfam family: Bacterial small subunit ribosomal RNA
Source: RNAcentral